This 1000-nucleotide ribosomal RNA is filed under the name Chryseobacterium indologenes. RNAcentral describes it as "bacterial SSU rRNA". It matches the Rfam family "Bacterial small subunit ribosomal RNA", at positions 1 to 986 of the family's 1533-position model. The record is from RNAcentral. Lineage: Bacteria; Pseudomonadati; Bacteroidota; Flavobacteriia; Flavobacteriales; Weeksellaceae.
AGGGGAGGGAGUUUUAUUUUUGGGCAGGCUAGUGACGCUGGCGGGAGGCCUAACACAUGCAAGUCGAGCGGUAGCGUCUCUUCGGAGACUUGGGGGCGGGGGACGGGUGGGGGAGUGAUGUGUGACCGGCCUUUCUGUGGGGGAGGGCCUUUCGAAAGGAACAUUAAUACCCCAUAAUAUAAAUCCCGGCAUCAAAUUUUGGGGGAAAACUCCCGUGGAUCUAGAUGGGCACGCGCAAGAUUAGAUAGUUGGUGAGGUAACGGCUCACCACGUCUGCGAUCUUUAUGGGGCCUGAGAGGGUGAUCCCCCACACUGGUACUGAGACACACACCAGACUCCUACUGGAGGCGGCAGUGAGGAAUAUUGGACAAUGGGUGAGAGCCUGAUCCAGCCAUCCCCCGGGAGGGAGAACAGCGCUAUCGGUUGUAAACUUCUUUUGUAUCGGGAUAAACCUUUCCUCUUGAGGGAAGCUGAAGGUACUAUGCAAAUAAGCACCGGCUAACUCCGUGCCACCUGCCGCGGUAAUACGGAGGGUGCAAGCGUUAUCCGGAUUUAUUGGGUUUAAAGGGUCCGUAGGCGGAUCUGUGAGUCAUUGGUGAAAUCUCACAGCUCAACUGUGAAACUGCCAUUGAUACUGCAGGUCUUGAGUGUUGUUGAAGUAUCUGGAAGAAGUAAUGUAGCGGUGAAAUGCAUAGAUAUUACUUAUAACACCAAUUGCGAACGCGGGUUACUACCCACCAACUGACACUCACGGACGAAAGCGUGAGGAGCGAACAGGAUUAGAUACCCUGAUACUCCACGCCGUAACGAUGCUAACUCGUUUUUGGGUUUUCGGGAUUCAUAUACUAACCGAAAGUGAUAAGUUAGCCACCUGGGGGAGUACGGAGCGCAAGUUUGAAACUCAAAAGGAAUUUGACGAAGUGCACGGCGCCAGGCCGCUCGGAUUAGUGUGGGUUUAAAUUCGAUGAUUACGUCUGCGAAGCAUCACAAAGGCUUUAUA